GACGAACGCUGGCGGCGUGCUUAACACAUGCAAGUCGAACGAGAAGAGAUGAGAAGCUUGCUUCUUAUCAAUUCGAGUGGCAAACGGGUGAGUAACGCGUAAGCAACCUGCCCUUCAGAUGGGGACAACAGCUGGAAACGGCUGCUAAUACCGAAUACGUUCUUUUGUCGCAUGGCAGAGGGAAGAAAGGGAGGCUCUUCGGAGCUUUCGCUGAAGGAGGGCUUGCGUCUGAUUAGCUAGUUGGAGGGUAACGGCCACCAAGGCGACGAUCAGUAGCCGGUCUGAGAGGAUGAACGGCCACAUUGGGACUGAGACACGGCCCAGACUCCACGGAGGCAGCAGUGGGGAAUCUUCCGCAAUGGACGAAAG
RNAcentral lists this ribosomal RNA (369 nucleotides) under uncultured bacterium. Its description in RNAcentral is "bacterial SSU rRNA". It matches the Rfam family "Bacterial small subunit ribosomal RNA", at positions 28 to 381 of the family's 1533-position model. The record is from RNAcentral.